RNAcentral lists this long non-coding RNA (245 nucleotides) under Bos taurus (domestic cattle). Its description in RNAcentral is "long non-coding RNA NONBTAT017190". The record is from RNAcentral. Lineage: Eukaryota; Metazoa; Chordata; Mammalia; Artiodactyla; Bovidae.
ACAACUCCCAGAUUCUGGAUAUGAAUCUAGGCACUAGGAAGUUACUAGUCUUAGUUCUUACUUCAUUUCCUGUCCUCUGUUUAUUUGAUUUUUUUUCCCCCUCUCAUUAGUAAACCAGCUAUUUCUUUCUACAUUUCUAACAUUUAUCUACCAUUCUUCUUUGUCAAAAAGAAUCUCAGUUUAUGGAAGCAGAGGGAAACUAAGAUGAGACUUCAGAGAAGGCACUAGAAACUAACUUAUCUUCA